Molecule: small nuclear RNA, 106 nt
Filed under: Takifugu rubripes (torafugu)
Lineage: Eukaryota; Metazoa; Chordata; Actinopteri; Tetraodontiformes; Tetraodontidae
Source: RNAcentral
GUGGUUGCUUCGGUAGCACAUAUACUAAAAUUGGAACGAUACAGAGAAGAUUAGCAGGCCCCUGCGCAAGGAUGACACGCAAAUUCGUGAAGCGUUCUUCAUUUUC